AGUGGGAUAGCUGGGUCAAAUGGUGGUAUCAGUUUUCUGAGGAAUCUCCAUACUGCCUUCUAUAGUGGUUACACCAAUUUGUAGUUCCUCCAGCAAU
Molecule: microRNA precursor, 97 nt
Filed under: Marmota monax (woodchuck)
Lineage: Eukaryota; Metazoa; Chordata; Mammalia; Rodentia; Sciuridae
Source: RNAcentral